UACGUAGGGUGCAAGCGUUGUCCGGAAUUAUUGGGCGUAAAGAGCUCGUAGGCGGUUCGUCGCGUCGGCUGUGAAAACCCGGAGCUCAACUCCGGGCCUGCAGUCGAUACGGGCGGACUCGAGUUCGGCAGGGGAGACUGGAAUUCCUGGUGUAGCGGUGAAAUGCGCAGAUAUCAGGAGGAACACCGGUGGCGAAGGCGGGUCUCUGGGCCUUACCUGACGCUGAGACGCGAAAGCGUGGGGAGCGAACAGG
Molecule: ribosomal RNA, 253 nt
Filed under: uncultured bacterium
Lineage: Bacteria
Description: partial 16S ribosomal RNA
Rfam family: Bacterial small subunit ribosomal RNA
Source: RNAcentral